RNAcentral lists this ribosomal RNA (636 nucleotides) under uncultured Lachnospiraceae bacterium. RNAcentral's name for it is "bacterial SSU rRNA". It matches the Rfam family "Bacterial small subunit ribosomal RNA", at positions 67 to 715 of the family's 1533-position model. Lineage: Bacteria; Bacillati; Bacillota; Clostridia; Lachnospirales; Lachnospiraceae. The record is from RNAcentral.
CUUAGAUUCUUCGGAUGAAGAGGAUUGUGACUGAGCGGCGGACGGGUGAGUAACGCGUGGGUAACCUGCCUCAUACAGGGGGAUAACAGUUAGAAAUGACUGCUAAUACCGCAUAAGACCACAGCACCGCAUGGUGCGGGGGUAAAAACUCCGGUGGUAUGAGAUGGACCCGCGUCUGAUUAGCUAGUUGGUAAGGUAACGGCUUACCAAGGCGACGAUCAGUAGCCGACCUGAGAGGGUGACCGGCCACAUUGGGACUGAGACACGGCCCAAACUCCUACGGGAGGCAGCAGUGGGGAAUAUUGCACAAUGGGGGAAACCCUGAUGCAGCGACGCCGCGUGAGCGAAGAAGUAUUUCGGUAUGUAAAGCUCUAUCAGCAGGGAAGAAAAUGACGGUACCUGACUAAGAAGCACCGGCUAAAUACGUGCCAGCAGCCGCGGUAAUACGUAUGGUGCAAGCGUUAUCCGGAUUUACUGGGUGUAAAGGGAGCGUAGACGGAUGGGCAAGUCUGAUGUGAAAACCCGGGGCUCAACCCCGGGACUGCAUUGGAAACUGUUCAUCUAGAGUGCUGGAGAGGUAAGUGGAAUUCCUAGUGUAGCGGUGAAAUGCGUAGAUAUUAGGAGGAACACCAGUGG